This is a long non-coding RNA of Macaca mulatta (Rhesus monkey), 1125 nucleotides long. RefSeq lists it as uncharacterized. Lineage: Eukaryota; Metazoa; Chordata; Mammalia; Primates; Cercopithecidae. The record is from RefSeq and is a predicted model, not a curated record.
GGUGGUCCAGGUGUCUGCUUCCAGAUGUUUAGGUGGUGGAAGGCACAGAAGGAAAGACUGCUUAGAGGGACUCUUACUCCUGUUCCUACCUGCACCUUCUGGAGAGCUUUUCCUUCUGUACAUUCACCUCAGCUCAACAUCGGAAUCCCUGCUCUUUCACUGCACACACACUGACCACCCUCUGCAGGCUGGUGGUCCUAGGGGGUUUCACGCACUGUGCUGUCUCCAGCAGAGGAGGUCCUGCUACAACGCCGGCACUGUUAGCCCUUUCUGGGCUGUGCUCUGUGAGUCCUUGAGAGGACAAUAAAUCGCUGUCAAAGUUGUGGAAUGAUCCCAUUCAAUUCUCAUCAAGGAACAGAGAAGACAUAAAAUUCAGCAAAUGGAGGAGGGAAAUUUGCUUAUUAAAGGUAUUUGUGAUGAGUGGAGUAGACAAAAAAACAAAACAAAACAAACAAAAAACACAAACAGCUGAGCUUUAACUGGAAAUUACCAAGCAAAAAAGGACAGGACAGCACCAUGUGAGCAGGAGGCCGGUGGCACAGCGGGCUUUGCCCCGACGCGCACACGGGUAACAGGACCUCAGGAGGGAAGAGGUCGCCGGGACAAGUCCCAUCAGGCUGCGGGGAGUCCUUCCCGGACAGAUGCUGCUGGCUCCUGGAACUGACUUGCCUCCUCACGCACAGCCCACUCAACAUGAAGAUGACAAGGAUGAAGACCUUUAUGAUGAUCCACUCCCACUUACUGAAUAGUUAAAGCUUCUUGGUGACGUGACAGUCUGUGGAAACUCCCACAGGACAAAUGCAGAAAAGAGGAGAGGAGCUUCAUAGAGGUGACGUCAGUGGAAGAUCCUCCAACCCUCCUUUGAACACACCUGCAACAAGGAAACCUGUCUGAUUUCCCCACCUUUCCUCCUUCCUGUCUUGUGGCAGAGCAGUCUCCCUGCAGCUGACUUAGAGCAAACCAAACACAACUGGACCUGUUUUCACCGAGCAACUUGCAGUGUUUUGCCCAGAUUCCAGCAAUGAAGUCAGUAUCAUUGGAUGGGUUCAUGAUGCAUGCAUUUGUUCAUACCAGGGAAUUCCCUGGAAGGUUACUUGUAAAAUAACUAUCUAAUGGCGGAAUUAA